RNAcentral lists this long non-coding RNA (5026 nucleotides) under Sus scrofa (pig). RNAcentral's name for it is "lncRNA (ENSSSCG00000062606.1)". Lineage: Eukaryota; Metazoa; Chordata; Mammalia; Artiodactyla; Suidae. The record is from RNAcentral.
UUUUUUCACAACAUCUUUCCGUUUUUAUUAAGGUUUAAAAAGCAGUUCCAAAUACAUGAGUUACACUUUCUGGUAUAAUUGAAUCUGUAGAAAGGGCAAGAGCUAACAAAAUCUCUCAAAAACUAUAAAGUCACCUUAAAAAAAUUCCUUCUCAAAAGAUAUGUGUAUAUGUAUGACUGGUCACUUUGUGGUACAGCAGAAAUUAUCACAGGCUGGUAAAUUAACUAUACUUCGAUAAAACUUAAAAAGAAAAAAAAACCCCAAAAAAACAAAAAACUCCUCAGAUUGAGUCUUUUCUCCUUUUUGAAUCCUGAAUCCUGCUGUUAAAUGAAACUAGUUAUACAAAAAACCAUAGGAAUCUAUUUUAUGGUAAUUUUAGUACUUUCAGUUCAUAUUUUCUGUGCUGAUUCAUUUUAUCAAGAGUGAUAGUAAGUUCACUUAUGGUAAGCAUUCUAGUAUAAGUUGUUUAAAGAUGCAAAACAACUUUUUAAAAAUUAUUGCCAAAUAGUCUAUAUUUCUAUAACCCCCCCCAAAUCAAAGUUUUAAAGUUUAAAUGCCAGAUUAAAAUAACUGUAAAGACUACUUUUUCGAAAUUUCCAUCUACUUUCCCAACCUCCAUCUACUCCUAGUAAACAUCUGGGUGUCACAUGAACUGGGUCACCAAGGCCUGUUCCUUUCUAUUGUUCCUCUUGACAUUUAUUCCACUCUUUUCUCGUCCUCAAUAAGCUUUCUCUUUCCCUCUCAAAACUGAAUACUUUUCUCAUCUUAGUCUAACAUCUAUUUUCAUCCUCUCUUUUGAUAGCUGAUAAAGUCAGGCACACACAAUUCUUUCUCCACUACCAUAUUCAAGAGUGAUUUUCCACCCACUUACCUUUUCUUCCACUUUGAGAGCUGUACUCAUGUUUCUUCCUCACUACUGGCAUAAUUCAAAAGAAUCUAUUUGCCCUGGCUCAGCAUAUCCAAAGUCAUGUCAGCAGAUCCGCAAUGACUUGGGUACAGGAUUAUGGAGAAGCACAUCAUGUGAUGUUUGGGACAGCUAAAUCAACAUCUCAGAAUCGGAAGAAAUACACCAUCCAUACCUAGAAAGAUAAGAUUUCUAUUUUUUCAUCUAUCAUAGGAGAUUCCAAAGCCAGUGAAGCUAUAACCAGUGCUUCUCAUCACUAUCAUCAACGGCUUGUACAGCUAGAAAAAGGACAGUGAAUAAUAAAUUCUAAGACUAAGCCAAGAAGACAAAAUAGCACAUUGUACCACAUUCUGAAGUGGGACAUAACAUAAUUUAAGUCCUGAUAUUCAAGUGAAAAUCCGCAGGAUGCUAGUUAUAAGUAAUAAUAUCAUUUCUGAUUUAGCAUUACAGUACAAGAUGCAUUAAUUAUCCUGGGCUAUUACAUUUAUCUGGGGAGUAGGGGGGAGGAUUCUUAGAAAUAGCAAAGUAUUAAUUUAGCCACAUUCAAGUAAGAACACACAUGAUAUAACAGUUCAACGUUUUUAUAACUAGACUGAAGCUCUGAUAGCAGAAUGGAUAGCUACAUAUUUGUUAAACAUAUGAAUCAUGAUUAUUACUAUAUUUUGAUGAUAAACCCUCAGUAGACAUUACAGAAAGUAAUAUUUGCUCUUCCACUUUAUAUGAAUUUCUUGUAAAUUAUGAGGUGGUAAACUCUCUAGUUAUAUUAACAUUUACAUUUAAAUAAGAGCACAAUACUGACAAAUCACAAAAGUUAAUCAUAGUUGGUCCUUAAGCAUUAUCUAGGACUUAUUUCUAUUUUGUUUCUUGCUGAUAUGAUAUGAUUGGAAAUUUCAGACUAGUAAGUGGUAAAAUAUAUACUUUAAACACACAACUGAAAAAAAAAAUGAUAUUGUGCAAACCGAAGGGGAUUAUUUCCUUAUAGAAUUAACCUGUAGCAACCUAGCCAUGAACCAUCAUGUUCAAUGUGACUUGGGUCCAUGAAGUUUCAGAUUUUGUUCUUUUAACAAAGCACCCUGAAUAUCAUUUUGAAGCCUCCUAAUUAUUUUCUUGGAAGGAGGGUGUUAUGUGUAUUAUGAAAUAGUAUUUCAAACACUUUUUCUAGAACUACAUUGUAAUAUCAAAAAAUUAUUAGCACACAAUUAUAUAUAUAAAACAUAUGCUAUAUACUUCUAAUGUUUUUCAUAUAUCUACGAGGUAUAUACAAUCCAUACACAAGGUCAGUUAAAAUAGACCUCUAUUAUCAGUAUUACCUUUUUACCUUAAUUUUUUUCAUUUUUGUAUUGAAUUUUGUACAGUGGAGGCAUUCCAGACAUAAGUUAACAAUAGAAAAUUGAGGAAAAGCAACAAGGUAAUUGUUAAUUGUCUCGCCUGAUGAACUCUUAAAUCAACAAAGGAACCUGCCUCUCUGGCUAAUCAGCCCGCGUAGAUUCCCAGCCUAACAGAAGAGCACAGAAGUGACUCUACACUGCGGGGCUCUCUCUUGUUUUCCAAUGCAAACACCAAGUGAAUUAAAAUAAACCUGGAAAAAAAUUGCCAAUUAAUACUUCGGAGGUAUCUUUAUUUCGGUUGUGAUAUUAAUAACUAAAAUAUUCAUUCAAAUGUUCUGUAUCAAUGCCAUCAUUUCCGGACGCUGCCACCAAAGCAAACGCAGAGGGGCUGUCGUCCUUAACAAUUUUCUGAAAUACAGAAGCUCAGAGCAAGUUAUGCCUUUAUCAGUUGAUGGCAUAAGGAGAUGUUUUGACAAAGGGUCUGAAGCAGUUAAAAUAGUACCUUGAUUCUUUCAUUUCCACACGUGCAUUUAUUUGGGGGGGAACCUGGGAGGUUGGGGCGUGGGCAGAGAAGGAGCAACCUAACACUGAAAGUUUUACCUUCCAACAGGGUUUAAUCUCCGAGCCGGCCGCCGGGGCUGGCGUGUUCUUUUCCACUCUUCGUGUCUAUGAAGUUGGAGGGUCUCCCAGCAGGCAGCCCCCAGGUGGCAGACAGAGACCCCCUGCUCUGUUAGUAAUCUGCACCGCAAUUCACCUUUACUUCACCGUCCCCACCCGGACCCACCAAUGGGAGACACAAGGCAGGCCAUCGGGUAUUCUGGUCCCAAACGUGGGUUGCAAACAGAUUUACCUAAGGAACCCAGUGGCCUCUCUGGUAGCUGCGCUCGCCGACCCGGGAUGGAAAAAGGUCUGUGGGACAUUGACUUUUUUUCCUUAAGUCUAGCAGUAAUUAGGGCCGUGGGUGUAGAUCCAGUUCAGUUUUUCCACUUCUUCCAUUGGAAAGGUGGAAUGGAAAAAGGCCCUCAAGCGCAGAACACUGAAGGUUUGCGGACGUGGGGAGUGCCCUGCUAAGAGGUUGGCAAAUCGGAAGUCCGUAUGGGAGGAGGCCGAGGGCACCGACGUGGAGGGGGGGAUGUGUCUCGGCUUCCCGCUUUUCUUUUCCUCGAACUUGGGGUAGCCUAAAUCUCUAGCGACCUCUGUGCUUGAAAGCAGGCGAGGGGGUUCUAGGAAAUACCAGAAAGUUAAUCGCAAGGUUCUUCUGGGCCAGCAAAGCACAGUCAGACAGGGUUUCCUGGGCCUUCAAGGAGAGCGAGCAACCUCCGCACCGCACCGCUGCGCAGGUGGGAGGGGAAGGCAUUCUGAACCCUUCCGGGAGGCAAGUUAUUAACUCAGUUGAAUUGAUCGAAUGACGUUCUUUCAGAAAGGGGUCGUCUCCUGGGGCCCCCUUCUCGGUGGGUAUUUAGCAGGUAGAGGCGCAGGGCAAAUUCUCCUCUUAACCUGAAGUCGCAAAGAAUUAAUGUUUUCUUAACAGCACAGAUCAGGAGGCGAAGAGGAUUUUAAAUGCACACACGGUCGAAGCGCAUCCUCCCAUCCACCUCCGCGAAGUCCAAGCAGACGACGACCUUUAAGACUGUCCCUAAAAUCUUCUCUUCUGAAUUUACUAGCCAUUUCCCGGGAUUUGAAGAUUUUUCUCCAGUCCCCAAACCUCCUUCUCUUCUACUCUCACAGUCUGCUGGUAGAUGCCACCAAUGAUUGCCUCUCCCCUUUAAAACGGCUCCCACCCACGCUUCUCUCAGCUACAUUAAAGGGCCCCAAUACGCUUUAGCCACCAGUUUAAUUCGUAGAAAGUAGCUGUAACUCUUGAUAUCACCUCCACCGCCCACCCGAGAACUCCAACCCUGGACACCUUAUUACGAAGCUAUUUUUUUUUUUCGAGCGCUGAAUUCUGAGACGAAAGAGAGGGUUAUUUGAGGCAUCCUGGAAGAUUUCCGGGCCUCCAAUUCCCUCCCCCGCCUGUCUGGUAAUUUUCUGCUUCUGCUCCUCCUCCUCUCGACCUCCUCCAAGGUACCUUCUCCUCCCCUCCCCCACUGGUUCCCUGUAAACCUUCCGCGUGCGUUGGAAAUCAAUCCUUUGGCAAAAAUUCAGAGCUGCCGGUUGGAUAGGAUCGCAGCGGGGGAGAGCGUGUCGCUUCUUUCUGAAAGACUGCCAUUUGAUCAACUACACUUGAGUUAACUUGCUCCGGGUUUCCCGAGAGCUCGGGUGGGCCCGUGGGUGUUUUGCUAGAUUCAUUGCAGAUGUGGUAGCUUUCAGCUGAAGCGCCCAGGACCUGGAACUCCAAUUACCCCCGGCGAGAAUCCGAUACAUUUAAUGGAGGCUCUGCCAGGGGGUAGGGCUCAGUGCGUCCUUGGGUCAAAACCUCAUAGCACAUUGCACUAUGGUUCCAACCUGCGCUCCACGCAGAACUCUGAUCCUGUUAAAAACUGCCUGUUCCUAGUCACAUAAGAUUUCAAAAAGAAAAAAAAAAUUUAAAAAAGGAAGAAAAAGGUUUCAGUUGACAUUGCCAGCACUUUCGUGGAAUCAUAAUAAAUACCUCCAAAAAACAGUUUUAAAGGGAGGGUGCAAAUUCCUGUUCUCGCUUGGUCGAAGUCCUACCCGCAAGGAGGAGGAACCUCGCCUUCUCAAGACUGAUCUGAGGUUUGUGGCUUCGCCGCUGCCGGGAGCGUGGAAUUCUAUCUAGGCUGGGAACCGAGCAGCAGACCGCACAUGAACGCUGCCUCCCGGAUUGCCCUCUGCC